Molecule: ribosomal RNA, 279 nt
Filed under: uncultured bacterium
Lineage: Bacteria
Description: partial 16S ribosomal RNA
Rfam family: Bacterial small subunit ribosomal RNA
Source: RNAcentral
UGCCAGCCGCCGCGGUAAUACUGAAGGUGCAAGCGUUAAUCGGAAUUACUGGGCGUAAAGCGCGCGUAGGCGGUUUGUUAAGUCAGAUGUGAAAGCCCUGGGCUCAACCUGGGAAUUGCAUUUGAUACUGGCAGACUAGAGUAUGGUAGAGGGAAGUGGAAUUUCCGGUGUAGCGGUGAAAUGCGUAGAUAUCGGAAGGAACACCAGUGGCGAAGGCGACUUCCUGGGCCAAUACUGACGCUGAGGUGCGAAAGCGUGGGGAGCAAACAGGAUUAGAUA